Papaver somniferum (opium poppy) is the source of this 874-nucleotide long non-coding RNA. RefSeq lists it as uncharacterized. The transcript has 5 exons. NCBI's taxonomy places the organism in Eukaryota, Viridiplantae, Streptophyta, Magnoliopsida, Ranunculales, Papaveraceae. The record is from RefSeq and is a predicted model, not a curated record.
UCUUUCUCUCAGUUUUUCUUCUCUUCUUGUCUUCUUCUCUUCUUCAGUCAGUUCACAAACCAUAACACCGUGAAAAGACUCUAAUCAACACCAACAAGUCAAUACCGUAAGUUUUACUCAGGAAACUGUCUGGAACUUUAAGCUCGCCUAAGAGGAAAUCAGGAGAAACUAUCUUGUUAGAGAGGUUACCAUGGUUGAAAUCUUAGAAAUGUUGUGUUUCAUAUUUUUGAUCCUUUUCGAAGUUCCUUAAUGCCUAGGACACUUGAGGCCUUAAUUUUGUUGCAAAAGUGGUUAUGUACACCAAUGGACAAGGAUUCUUCUAUCCUUGGAGUCGGGGAGGAUGAGAUUGAUAUUGCUGAGUUUGAUCUAUUUAUUGACCUUGCUACUUCUUCCAUCAUCAUAGAUGAUUGAAUCCUAUUGGGUUAGACAAGGCUUUCAGCGAAUUCAGGGGUAAAACGUCUACAUUUUUCGAUGGAGGAAGCUGGUCGCUUCAUAUGAAUCAUAUGAUCUUUCUUCUUCAGCUACUAGUAUAGUUACUAUAGUAGGAUUUAGUACAGUAGGCUCGUAAUUCAUCUUUUGAGCUUUUAGAAGUUGAACUCAUUUUUAUUUUGUAAACACUUCUAGUUUUAAAUAACCUACGAUGCUAAUUUUAUGCACUUUUAGUUAUUUGUCAUGUUCGUUGCAUUUUAUGACGGGUUAACCCGCCACCCACCCGCUGUAAUGUGGGUCGGGUUAAAACCGAUCCACUAUGAUGUUGGGUUGGUUGUGGGUGACAACUUCUGUUACCCUCCAUCAGUGGGUUGGUUGAGGCCAAAACCGACCCAAACCGACCCAUGUGCAGCCCCAGCUCAUACAAUCAAACCGAUAGUAUUGU